GUUUCCGUAGGUGAACCUGCGGAAGGAUCAUUACAGUAGUCGCCCGGGUUGCCGCAAGGCCUCCCGGGUAACCUACCACCCUUUGUUUAUUACACUUUGUUGCUUUGGCAGGCCUGCCCUCGGGCUGCUGGCUCCGGCCGGCGAGCGCUUGCCAGAGGACCUAAACUCUGUUUGUCUAUACUGUCUGAGUACUAUAUAAUAGUUAAAACUUUCAACAACGGAUCUCUUGGUUCUG
This 235-nucleotide unclassified non-coding RNA is filed under the name plant metagenome. Its description in RNAcentral is "partial contains small subunit ribosomal RNA, internal transcribed spacer 1, and 5.8S ribosomal RNA". The record is from RNAcentral.